RNAcentral lists this ribosomal RNA (468 nucleotides) under uncultured bacterium. Its description in RNAcentral is "partial 16S ribosomal RNA". It matches the Rfam family "Bacterial small subunit ribosomal RNA", at positions 28 to 507 of the family's 1533-position model. The record is from RNAcentral.
GACGAACGCUGGCGGCGUGCUUAACACAUGCAAGUCGAACGGAAAGGCCCUGCUUUUGUGGGGUGCUCGAGUGGCGAACGGGUGAGUAACACGUGAGUAACCUGCCCUUGACUUUGGGAUAACUUCAGGAAACUGGGGCUAAUACCGGCUAGGAGCUCCUGCUGCAUGGUGGUGGUUGGAAAGUUUCGGCGGUUGGGGAUGGACUCGCGGCUUAUCAGCUUGUUGGUGGGGUAGUGGCUUACCAAGGCUUUGACGGGUAGCCGGCCUGAGAGGGUGACCGGCCACAUUGGGACUGAGAUACGGCCCAGACUCCUACGGGAGGCAGCAGUGGGGAAUAUUGCACAAUGGGCGGAAGCCUGAUGCAGCAACGCCGCGUGCGGGAUGACGGCCUUCGGGUUGUAAACCGAUUUCGCCUGUGACGAAGCGUGAGUGACGGUAAUGGGUAAAGAAGCACCGGCUAACUACGUG